UAGGGAAUCUUCCGCAAUGGGCGAAAGCCUGACGGAGCAACGCCGCGUGAGUGAUGAAGGUCUUCGGAUCGUAAAACUCUGUUAUUAGGGAAGAACAUAUGUGUAAGUAACUGUGCACAUCUUGACGGUACCUAAUCAGAAAGCCACGGCUAACUACGUGCCAGCAGCCGCGGUAAUACGUAGGUGGCAAGCGUUAUCCGGAAUUAUUGGACGUAAAGCGCGCGUAGGCGGUUUUUUAAGUCUGAUGUGAAAGCCCACGGCUCAACCGUGGAGGGUCAUUGGAAACUGGAAAACUUGAGUGCAGAAGAGGAAAGUGGAAUUCCAUGUGUAGCGGUGAAAUGCGCAGAGAUAUGGAGGAACACCAGUGGCGAAGGCGACUUUCUGGUCUGUAACUGACGCUGAUGUGCGAAAGCGUGGGGAUCAAACAGGAUUAGAUACCCUGGUAGUCCACGCCGUAAACGAUGAGUGCUAAGUGUUAGGGGGUUUCCGCCCCUUAGUGCUGCAGCUAACGCAUUAAGCACUCCGCCUGGGGAGUACGACCGCAAGGUUG
Molecule: ribosomal RNA, 550 nt
Filed under: uncultured bacterium
Lineage: Bacteria
Description: bacterial SSU rRNA
Rfam family: Bacterial small subunit ribosomal RNA
Source: RNAcentral